Molecule: non-coding RNA, 1611 nt
Organism: Arachis ipaensis
Lineage: Eukaryota; Viridiplantae; Streptophyta; Magnoliopsida; Fabales; Fabaceae
Source: RefSeq, a predicted model, not a curated record
AGAGACUUGUGAGUUGUGGUAUGUGACUAUGUGUCACGUGGUAAUUGCAUGCACUAUGUUAAGCCACUGCAAUAUACAGUCAUCACUUUCUUCUCAUUUAUUCUGUGAACUUGCGCAUCUCAAUUUAUUGAACUACUUAACAAGUGCAUGUGAACGAUUUUGGUGGAUGAUGUUUAAUUACUUUUCUGCUGAAUCUUUAUUGACUACUAUGUAGACAGAUUUUAACUUUACUUUGAUGAUUUGAUUGAUGUUGAAGUUAACCAGAAUUAUUUCACUUAACUGAUCAAAUAGAAUUACACAUACACUAAGAUCAUAUCAUAUGAGUGAAUUGAGUGAUCAAGACUGAAAAGAGAGGAAGCAUGGAUACAAGUCUAUUAACGGAGCAAAGAGUAGGCCAUGCUUCAUUCACAGCGGAAGUGAAGACCAUAUGCUUCAUUCGUCCCAGUUUCCGUUGCAGAUUGUUUCAACCAUGAUUGUUGGUCUCUCUUGCCAGCGCUGCCUUGGCCAUCUGAUCUCCAUCUUUGGGAAUGGCUAGUGGAUUGGAAACUCUUUGUGGACAAGCAUAUGGAGCUAAACAAUAUCACAAAUUUGGAAUGCAAAAUCCACACUGCUAUAUUCACUUUAGUGUUGAUGUGUGUUCCACUUGCACUCAUUUGGUUCAAGAUGCUUUGAUUUCACAGGAAGCAGGGAGAUUCACAUGCUCAUCACUUCCUCUCUCACUUUCUGUAUCCAUAUACCUCUGUGUUGGGCUUUGGUAUACAACACUGGAUUUGGUAACAUAGGUGCAGCCAUAGCACUUAGUAUUUCAAUCUCGCUAAACACUGCUUUCAUUGGGUUAUACAUAAGAUUCUCUUCUGCUUGUUCCAAAACCCGUGUUCCCAUCUCCAUGAAGCUAUUCAAGGGAAUUGGAGAGUUCCUUCGCUUUGCUUUCCCUUCUGCAAUCAUGUUUAUAUUCUUGUUUAAUCUGUAAUAUUAAUCUUUAAUGACGAUAAUAAUUAUAUAUUAUGUGUUGCAGCCUUGAAUGGUGGUCAUUUGAGUUGUUUAUCUUGCUCUCUGGCCUUUUACCAGAUCCAGAACUUGAAACAUAAGUUCUUUCAGUUUGGUAAGUUGUGUAACAUGGCAUAACUUUUCUUGUUAAGUCUGAUGUGAGAUUUUUCUUGUGCAGUCUCAAAGAGGGGCACUCUACCUGUUAAUGUUGCAAGUGUGAGGAGUGCAUGAAUUUAGUCUCACAUCAAAGAAAACAAAGAAGAAUGAGAAGUUUAUAAGAUGAGAGAUUCAUUAAUUUAAUAUUUUAAGAUUUUAAGUUGGAUAUAAUGUCUUCUUAUCUUAAGUUAGUCUCACUUGAUUCUUCUCUUUUGGGCUUAAGGUGAAAUAAUUCAUUGAUUUUUAAUGCAGGUAAUCAAUGCAAGAAAGAGGCUAUUUGAAAGGCACUUUUCCGAGGAUAAUGGAUUGAUCAGAGAAGACAAUGACGAAAACUCAAAUUUGAAGAUGGCAUAGGAUAGAUUCAUAUUUCUUUAGAGGAAGUUGUUUGGUUCUGUUAUUCCAAAUGAGUAUCACAGUUGCUUCAUUUUCACCAAUGAGAAAUAAUAUUUGACUAAUGCUACAUUUUAA